RNAcentral lists this long non-coding RNA (540 nucleotides) under Androctonus crassicauda. The record is from RNAcentral. Lineage: Eukaryota; Metazoa; Arthropoda; Arachnida; Scorpiones; Buthidae.
ACAUGCUGUACUUCGUUUAGCCAGACAGGAGGUUUCGUAGUGCAGAUGACAAGCUAAUUAAACUGAAGGUGUUCUUUCGAAACGAAGUUUAUGUUCAUUCAAUAAUUAAUGCAGAUAUAAAUUAUACUUUAGUAAUGCAAGAUGAUAUGAGGCUGAAGCAAGAAUUACUUUGUUUGUUCGAGAGGAUCACAUGGAUACGAGCACUGUACCAACUAUACGUUUAUGAGAUAUGGUGAUAUGAAAAUUAAACAGAAGAAAUGGAGGACAACGCUAUAACUGUACAGAAUGAGAACAGUAAUGUAUUGUUAAAUGGCCAGCUGCAGUUGCAAGAGGCAAACGGAAAAAUUCUAGACCUUCAAAACUUUUGUAACCAACUUACAAAUGGCCAGGCAAGUAAUCAAUGUACUACCAUACUUAAACACUGUAAAAAAGUGCAUAUUGGUCCAAAAAUCGAAUAUCAUAAUCAUCCGCCGACCACACCCCAUCCAAUUAAAAACGAUAAAACAGAGAAUUCAAUAUUUGUGAAAUGUAAAGAAAGAC